Molecule: long non-coding RNA, 78 nt
Organism: Alosa sapidissima (American shad)
Lineage: Eukaryota; Metazoa; Chordata; Actinopteri; Clupeiformes; Clupeidae
Exons: 3
Source: RefSeq, a predicted model, not a curated record
UGAUGGUCAUAGAAGAGGUGAAAGAGCAGUACCCCCCAAUUAUGGUGGGGUAAUUCGCACUCUGAUUACAAUACAAUA